Molecule: ribosomal RNA, 491 nt
Filed under: uncultured bacterium
Lineage: Bacteria
Description: partial 16S ribosomal RNA
Rfam family: Bacterial small subunit ribosomal RNA
Source: RNAcentral
AGUGAACGCUGGCGGUAGGCCUAACACAUGCAAGUCGAACGGCAGCACAGUAAGAGCUUGCUCUUACGGGUGGCGAGUGGCGGACGGGUGAGGAAUACAUCGGAAUCUACUUUUUCGUGGGGGAUAACGUAGGGAAACUUACGCUAAUACCGCAUACGACCUACGGGUGAAACCAGGGGAUCUUCGGACCUUGCGCGAUUGAAUGAGCCGAUGUCGGAUUAGCUAGUUGGCGGGGUAAAGGCCCACCAAGGCGACGAUCCGUAGCUGGUCUGAGAGGAUGACCACCCACACUGGACCUGAGAACCGGUCCAGACUCUACGGGGAGGCACCAGGGGGGAAUUUGGGAAAAGGGGCGAAAGCCUGACCCAGCCAUACCGGGGGGGGGAAGAAGGCCUUCGGGUUGUAAAGCCCUUUUGUUGGGAAAAAAAAGAAGCAGGUUAAAACCCCGCUGUUCUGACGGUACCAAAAAAAAAAGCACCGGCUAAUUUCGU